RNAcentral lists this long non-coding RNA (1055 nucleotides) under Vulpes vulpes (red fox). RNAcentral's name for it is "lncRNA (ENSVVUG00000018367.1)". Lineage: Eukaryota; Metazoa; Chordata; Mammalia; Carnivora; Canidae. The record is from RNAcentral.
AUUGGAUCCAUAGGGCAAGUGCAUAAAGAUUUAAAAAAAAAAAAAAGUGGGAAGAGACAGUGACACCAGGAGAGGUCCAAGGACAAAACCUUGGGGAAACGUGACACGUAGAAGUUAGGCAGAGAAAUAAAUCAGAAAGGGAAAGUGAAUAGUGACCAGAGGGAAAGGAGACCUGGAGAGAGCUGGUGGGGGGGGGGGNUCCCAGAGAUGUCAGGAAACAAUGUUUAGGAAGCAGGAGGGGAGUGCUCAAUUGUGUCAGAGUCUAAGACGAUUUCUAUCAUACCCACCAAGAGUUUCAUAGUGAAGUGAACCUGACUUUGCCUCCGAGCUUUGGGUAGGAGUAGCAACUGACACAACCUCUCCAAGAUUCCGAUCCAACUUCCUUUAAUUGGAGAAGAGCACUUAUCUCUUUCUCACAGGGCUAAAAUGCUUCACCUGGUGCUGACUGCAGAAAGCCCUCACCAAUGAUACCACCACCACUAUCAGGGAAAAUGAGAGAUGUGAUACACAAUUGUUCAAAAUACAGAGAUGCCUACUCUGAAAAAAUAAAGUCAUAAGAUUCUGCAGCAUUUAAUACUUUAAAGACAGAAGAUUGUGUGACUUCAAAAACAGUGAAAUUAUAGAUACCUGGAAAUGAGCAGCCUUUGUGUUGGAAGACAGGUAACUGGAAAUCAGAAGCUUUACGUACGGCUGGGUGAGGGACUUUAAAAUGAACAAAAACGAUGUUCAAACAAAGGGAUCUUGAGGACGCCUGUAUAAACAACAUCUUUACUUUAUGGAGAGGCCGAAUGUCUUAUGCAGAUCCCAUGAUUUACUAACUCCCAUAAGUUGAUUUUGUAAUGGUAAUUCAGUCUCUGUGAUAUCACACGUAUCUGGCAAAAGGGUCAUAUGGUGAGUCACCCAAAACAAAUCACAUAGUGUGAUGCUCCUGACCACGUCCUGCAUCCCCUCUGGACAGCAAACAAGGUGACAUGCAUAAAGAUCUCAGUCUUUCAGAAGAAGGAACUUUGAGGGGAGUGGUCCUAUCUAAUUAAAUAAAAUACUUCAUUACUGCA